This 492-nucleotide ribosomal RNA is filed under the name uncultured bacterium. RNAcentral describes it as "partial 16S ribosomal RNA". It matches the Rfam family "Bacterial small subunit ribosomal RNA", at positions 29 to 507 of the family's 1533-position model. The record is from RNAcentral.
AUUGAACGCUGGCGGCAUGCUUUACACAUGCAAGUCGAACGGUAACAGGCCUUCGGGUGCUGACGAGUGGCGCACGGGUGAGUAAUGCAUCGGAACGUACCCAGAGGGGGGGGAUAACGCAGCGAAAGCUGUGCUAAUACCGCAUGUGAUCUGAGGAUGAAAGCGGGGGACCGAGCAGCAAUGUUUGGCCUCGCGCCUUUGGAGCGGCCGAUGUCGGAUUAGCUAGUUGGUGGGGUAAAGGCCUACCAAGGCGACGAUCCGUAGCUGGUCUGAGAGGACGAGAGGCCACAUUGGGACGGAGACACGGCCCAGACUCCUACGGGAGGCAGCAGUGGGGAAUUUUGAACAAUGGGCGCAAGCCUGACCCAGCAACGCCGGGUGAGGGAAGAAGGCCUUCGGGUUGUAAACCGCUUUUGGGGGAAAAGAAGGGGUGUCGGAGAAACCGGGCGGUUAGUGACGGUAAUUAAAGAAAAAGCCCCGGCUAACUACGUG